Non-coding RNA from Acanthosepion pharaonis, 107 nucleotides. The record is from the annotation of a GenBank genome assembly. NCBI's taxonomy places the organism in Eukaryota, Metazoa, Mollusca, Cephalopoda, Sepiida, Sepiidae.
ACAGUCACAUCAUGUUGAAACACCAGUUCCAAUUCAAUCACCGAAGUUAAGCAGUGUUGAGCCUGGUCAGUAACUAGAUGUGUGACUACUUGGAAAUACUAGGUGCU